RNAcentral lists this ribosomal RNA (302 nucleotides) under uncultured bacterium. RNAcentral describes it as "partial 16S ribosomal RNA". It matches the Rfam family "Bacterial small subunit ribosomal RNA", at positions 508 to 809 of the family's 1533-position model. The record is from RNAcentral.
GCAGUAGCCGCGGGAAUACAGAGGGUGCGAGCGUUAAUCGGAUUUACUGGGCGUAAAGCGUGCGUAGGCGGCUUCUUAAGUCGGAUGUGAAAUCCCUGAGCUUAACUUAGGAAUUGCAUUCGAUACUGGGAAGCUAGAGUAUGGGAGAGGAUGGUAGAAUUCCAGGUGUAGCGGUGAAAUGCGUAGAGAUCUGGAGGAAUACCGAUGGCGAAGGCAGCCAUCUGGCCUAAUACUGACGCUGAGGUACGAAAGCAUGGGGAGCAAACAGGAUUAGAUACCCCUGUAGUCCCUGUCUCUUAUAA